UGGGGAAUAUUGCACAAUGGGCGCAAGCCUGAUGCAGCCAUGCCGCGUGUGUGAAGAAGGCCUUCGGUUGUAAAGCACUUUCAGCGAGGAGGAAGGUGGUGAGCUUAAUACGCUCAUCAAUUGACGUUACUCGCAGAAGAAGCACCGGCUAACUCCGUGCCAGCAGCCGCGGUAAUACGGAGGGUGCAAGCGUUAAUCGGAAUUACUGGGCGUAAAGCGCACGCAGGCGGUUUGUUAAGUCAGAUGUGAAAUCCCCGGGCUCAACCUGGGAACUGCAUUUGAAACUGGCAAGCUAGAGUCUCGUAGAGGGGGGUAGAAUUCCAGGUGUAGCGGUGAAAUGCGUAGAGAUCUGGAGGAAUACCGGUGGCGAAGGCGGCCCCCCUGGACGAAGACUGACGCUCAGGUGCGAAAGCGUGGGGAGCAAACA
This 427-nucleotide ribosomal RNA is filed under the name uncultured bacterium. RNAcentral describes it as "partial 16S ribosomal RNA". It matches the Rfam family "Bacterial small subunit ribosomal RNA", at positions 355 to 774 of the family's 1533-position model. The record is from RNAcentral.